UACAGAGGGCCCGAGCGUUGCGCGGAAUCACUGGGCUUAAAGCGUGCGUAGGCGGAUCGUUAAGCGUUUUGUGAAAUCCCACGGCUCAACCGUGGAAUUGCAGGGCGAACUGGCGAUCUUGAGGUCGGUAGGGGUCGUUGGAACGCUAGGUGGAGCGGUGAAAUGCGUAGAUAUCUAGCGGAACGCCGAAGGUGAAGACAAGCGACUGGGCCGAUUCUGACGCUGAGGCACGAAAGCGUGGGGAGCGAACGGG
RNAcentral lists this ribosomal RNA (253 nucleotides) under uncultured bacterium. RNAcentral's name for it is "partial 16S ribosomal RNA". It matches the Rfam family "Bacterial small subunit ribosomal RNA", at positions 524 to 776 of the family's 1533-position model. The record is from RNAcentral.